Molecule: long non-coding RNA, 1717 nt
Organism: Oreochromis aureus
Lineage: Eukaryota; Metazoa; Chordata; Actinopteri; Cichliformes; Cichlidae
Source: Ensembl
AAAAAAAUGUAGCCAUUUUUUUGUGUUGUUUUCAUUUUUUUGCUGUUUUAUUCAAUGGACACUUGAAAUGUAAUUGGCCCCUAAGCUGCUCCUAGUGCUGAGCCUCGCCUGUUUAGAGUCACCAGCCUUGUCCAGGGCUUACUCCCCAGCCACACACCAGGCCUGUGAGGAGCAUCACAGACCUGAAACAGCAGCACAGGUUGAACCUUUAUACCCAUUCUGCUGUCGCAAGGUGACAUGCUCUCGACUUUGUUUCCGGGUCUGUGCUGAGGGGAGCUAAUUCUGCACAAGACUCACCCAUAGCCAAGACUUUACUGGCAAAUAUUGAGCCGGCUGCUACGUAAUAAAAGGGGUCUAAAACUCCGCUUUCCUCUAUUAGGAGGAUUGUAGUCUCUAUUAGACUUGUUUUAGUUGACAAAAUGUGUCUUACAUUAACAACUCCUCCGACUGAGGAUUUAAAGAAAUAAAAACACAAAAGAACAAAACCUUUGGUUUCUCUGAUGGACAUCGUUAUGGUGUAGAGUUUGACAUGUACGCUCUUUGCGGAGCUCUGUUGAGGUUGUUGGACUUGGCACUAAAUCAGAAAGUCACCACUUUUGGUGCUCAGACAUUUAAAAAAAAAAAUGCCAAAACCACCUCAGAACACCUCAGUGUCCUCUCUCUUUAUCUCUUUCUCUCUCUCUGUGGGGGACAGUUUACAUUUAUUCUGCCCCGUUUUAAGUUAUUACCUUUAUCUGAUCUUUGUUUCUGCUUUCUUCUUCUUAUGUUGGUUUUAUGAAACUGCACUGCUGACACGACAAAGGUCUCAGUGUUUUGCGACAAAUGAAUUUCUCUUCUUGUUCAGACCUCGAUCAGUUCUUUGCAGUGUUUUAACCUGCUCACACAGUACACAAUGUUGUGUUUUACUAUGAUGGGACAAACUGAGUGUUUAUCACAAAAAUGUGUGUCAUUUUGUCCCACGUGGUAAAAUGCUCAGAUGCGAGAUGAUUCCAGGACGGGUUAAAAAAACAAACAACUAAAAGAACUGGUUUUACUGAGGCCAGGUCUGUCCUCACUCAUGUGAGUCUACUGUGUGUGUGUGCAUGGGUGUAUGUAUGUGUGUGAUCGCUGUGUUCUUACUAAAGCUGAGCUUUAGAAAGGCACCUAGUCCAUGACUAGUCUGCACAGAUGUCAGUGGGCUGUUUGCCACUUUGAUACUCAGUAAAUAUCACACUUCUGAAGGCUGUUUGUCAUUUAAAAAAAAAAGACAAGCUCUCCAGUGUAAGACGCAAAAACAAAAGAUGUUCAGUCCAGUGCAGAAUAGUCCUGGAUCAGUUGAUUGAGAGGUCUGACAAAACAUUUCUGGCCAUGCUGCAACUUUCAUUAGCAUAUCCUCAUCACAAAAUUGUAUUUUUACUUCUGUGUUUAAGGUUUCAGUGGUGGUUAGGGGAGAGCUUGGCCAGAAGUGCACCAGCCCGGUGAAGUGGAAGUUGCAGUGUCCUUUGUAAAACCCCACUCCACUCUGGUGUCAGUCUCUCAGGGGGUUGAUCUGAGCAAACGGGUCCACGAAGUCAAGUUAGCCCAACCAAACAAGCAGUCCCAAGUGCAGUAGGGAGCCCUCCUGUUGUUCUGAACCUGUGGCCAUCCUUUGUAAAACAUGCACUCUGAUGAUGAUUCUAGCUGUGUAAGUUGAUGAUGCAAUACUUAAAAUAAAAACACCAAGAUUUUCAAACCUGAA